This 307-nucleotide ribosomal RNA is filed under the name uncultured Actinomycetes bacterium. Its description in RNAcentral is "bacterial SSU rRNA". It matches the Rfam family "Bacterial small subunit ribosomal RNA", at positions 1092 to 1397 of the family's 1533-position model. The record is from RNAcentral. Lineage: Bacteria; Bacillati; Actinomycetota; Actinomycetes.
ACGAGCGCAACCCUCGUCGUAUGUUGCCAGCGGAUAAUGCCGGGGACUCAUACGAGACUGCCGGGGUCAACUCGGAGGAAGGUGGGGACGACGUCAAGUCAUCAUGCCCCUUAUGUCUAGGGCUGCACGCAUGCUACAAUGGCCGGUACAGAGGGCUGCGAAACCGCGAGGUGGAGCGAAUCCCAAAAAGCCGGUCUCAGUUCGGAUUGGGGUCUGCAACUCGACCCCAUGAAGUCGGAGUCGCUAGUAAUCGCAGAUCAGCAACGCUGCGGUGAAUACGUUCCCGGGCCUUGUACACACCGCCCGU